Molecule: ribosomal RNA, 119 nt
Filed under: Arabidopsis suecica
Lineage: Eukaryota; Viridiplantae; Streptophyta; Magnoliopsida; Brassicales; Brassicaceae
Also listed under: 1 other name
Source: RNAcentral
GGAUGCGAUCAUACCAGCACCAAUACACCGGAUCCCAUCAGAACUUCUCAGUUAAGCGUGCUUGGGCGAGAGUAGUACUAGGAUGGGUGACCUCCCGGGAAGUCCUCGUGUUGUAUCCC